CAGUGUUAUCCCAUUUUCAAGUACUUUGAGAAUUGGUGCCAAGAUGAGAAUAGACACGGUGAUUUCUUUUCUGCCUUGUUAAAGGCACAACCUCAAUUCCUCAAUGAUUGGAAGGCUAAGUUGUGGUCUCGCUUCUUCUGCUUAUCGGUAAUUUUGCAUAUACACUGUAAACUUCCCUUAUUUUCUUUUAAUAGCUAGUGUUAAUUUUGGAUCCUAAUUUAAUUCUAAUGCUCUUUUGAUGAAGUGAAAACUAAUGUCUAGGUCCUGUUUGCCGCUUCACCAGUUAACAUAAGAUGGAUAAUUCUCUCAUCUUACAUCUCUGAGAAUUUAUAUUGCAGGUCUAUGUGACAAUGUACCUCAAUGAUUGCCAGCGGACAGCUUUCUAUGAAGGCAUUGGAUUGAAUACCAAAGAAUUUGAUAUGCAUGUUAUCAUUGAGGUGAGUUUUAGAUUGCCUGGAGCAUAGGUUAUAUACUAAUGCAUCAAGUUAUUUGCUCAUUUGCUUGCCUUCUCAAACUUACUUAAGUUGAUAUGUGACACAAGCAGUUGUCUUCAACUAUAGAUUGUCAAUAGUUAUCCAAAUUUUUUAGAUUCUUGGAACUGAUUCCUGACUGUUAACUGAAAUUUUCUGUAUGUAGAC
Molecule: long non-coding RNA, 638 nt
Filed under: Ricinus communis (castor bean)
Lineage: Eukaryota; Viridiplantae; Streptophyta; Magnoliopsida; Malpighiales; Euphorbiaceae
Description: long non-coding RNA (RCOM_LNC001640)
Source: RNAcentral